UACUUUUGCACGCAAAUACGAUAAACGUAUCUACAUAAUAAUCAUUAAAUAAUAUUAGCAUG
This is a non-coding RNA of Flavobacterium antarcticum DSM 19726, 62 nucleotides long. Lineage: Bacteria; Pseudomonadati; Bacteroidota; Flavobacteriia; Flavobacteriales; Flavobacteriaceae. The record is from Rfam.